UACGUAGGGUGCAAGCGUUGUCCGGAAUUAUUGGGCGUAAAGAGCUCGUAGGCGGUCUGUCGCGUCGGCUGUGAAAACCCGGGGCUCAACCCCGGGCCUGCAGUCGAUACGGGCAGACUAGAGUGCGGUAGGGGAGACUGGAAUUCCUGGUGUAGCGGUGAAAUGCGCAGAUAUCGGGAGGAACACCAGUGGCGAAGGCGGCUUCCUGGCCUGUUCUUGACGCUGAGGCGCGAAAGCUAGGGGAGCAAACGGG
RNAcentral lists this ribosomal RNA (253 nucleotides) under uncultured bacterium. RNAcentral describes it as "partial 16S ribosomal RNA". It matches the Rfam family "Bacterial small subunit ribosomal RNA", at positions 524 to 776 of the family's 1533-position model. The record is from RNAcentral.